UGCCUACAAAUUUUCGAUCUUUUCUGCUUAAACUUUAGAUACAUAUUAUUCAAAUGAAAUGUACCUAAAAUUGACAAAAUCGCCUACGGGGGCUAAUUACAGAGAUGAUAUCCAGUACAGGUCACCAAACAGAAAGAUAAAAUGAAGAACUUGUACAGGUGAUUAUCAUCCUUGGUUUAGAUCAGUAGAGCAAAAGCUAAGAUAGAUAGCAGUGAUCAUUGCGGAGAAGCAUCACGACUCCAGUGAGAUCCAGGAGGUAUCUGAUGGAGAUUCUGUAGACACAAUUCUCAACUUCAGAUUGGGACAGCUAUGGAACAGCUUGUCUGGAACCUUUUCUCGAUUCAAAGAUCAUGGAUUUCUUAAGGGUUCAACCUCCUGGACCAAAUCGCUGUUUCUCCUACACAAGCAAAGCAGUUUAGAACAAAAAACUCGAGCGGAUUCCAUCAUAAAAUAACACGAAUCGUAUAGCCAACAUAGAUCUAAGGAUUAGAAAUAUCAUACUCACUAUUGUUCUGAGCCAGUCAUGUUCAUCAUAAUCCGGCAUUCAUAACUGCGUCCCAACUUGUAUUCUAAACAGUCUCCAUGAAUCUGCAGAAGUAUGCGAAUCUGUGAGCCAUUCGAAUUCCCUGCGGUGUGAGGAUCCAUGUGG
This 649-nucleotide long non-coding RNA is filed under the name Linum usitatissimum (flax). RNAcentral describes it as "long non-coding RNA (LUSI_LNC004664)". The record is from RNAcentral. Lineage: Eukaryota; Viridiplantae; Streptophyta; Magnoliopsida; Malpighiales; Linaceae.